Molecule: non-coding RNA, 21 nt
Filed under: Caenorhabditis elegans
Lineage: Eukaryota; Metazoa; Nematoda; Chromadorea; Rhabditida; Rhabditidae
Source: RNAcentral
UUAGUGUGUAGAAGGGCUGUG